CGUUCCUACCAAAAAUCUUAUAUUUGUAUUUCCCGCUCAAAACUUUUUUUACCGGAAUCCUCGGGUUUUAUCUUUACGUAUAAGGUCCAGUCCGUUUGGCAUCACCUGAGCGUUUGACAUGAACACUUGCAUUUGAAGUUUCAAAGCAUUUGUUUGAAAUCGAUGUUGAACGCUUUCUGAAAUCAUGAUAUGAAGUACGUUACUCUGUACCUUUAAACUUAAAUUCAUUUACAAAAAAGUUCGUUUGAUACAAAAGUAUUAACGUGUGUACAAACUAAUUUGUAAACGGACGUUGUAUUCUAUGUAGGGAUGGCCUUUUGUUAUCCGCAUAUCAGAAUGAUUAUGUUAACGAUGCCGCUAAAUUUAUAUUUAUAUCUGACAUGAACCAAAAGUGACAAAACCCUGUAAAGUUGAGAAUAUCUGGCAGUAAAAUCGCCAAGUUUUCCAUACAGAUCAUUUAUAAAUGUGAUGCAAAAUACGUGACAAUUGAGUUUUAAG
This 498-nucleotide long non-coding RNA is filed under the name Mytilus galloprovincialis (Mediterranean mussel). Lineage: Eukaryota; Metazoa; Mollusca; Bivalvia; Mytilida; Mytilidae. The record is from RNAcentral.